Long non-coding RNA from Pteropus alecto (black flying fox), 596 nucleotides. RefSeq lists it as uncharacterized. The transcript is spliced from 3 exons. The record is from RefSeq and is a predicted model, not a curated record. Lineage: Eukaryota; Metazoa; Chordata; Mammalia; Chiroptera; Pteropodidae.
UUACAGUAUUAGCAGAUGAGAGUAAGAGAGAACAGAAACUGUUACCAUUCUGUUGCUCUCACCUUCCCUAUCCAUGAGAAUGAUCUUCAAACUAAGCCACAAAACAACAGAUUAACAAGGAACUGAAGCCUGAGAGAGAGUCACCAUAUGAGAGGUGAAGGAUGCUGGAAUCUCUUUGAAAGGCUCACCAGGUGAUUCUGUGGUUCAGCCAGGUGUGGGAAGAUUGCUAAUCUAAAACCAUACAUCCAAUUACGAAAGUAUGCGUUAUGGUUCAAAGAUGUCUCCAUCCUGAAGAACUAAUCACCUGCAAAGGAGGAAAAAUAUUCCACAUAAUUAGAAAAAAUUGGCAAAGCCCCAAUCUCUUAAGAAGAACUGGCUAUAUAAUUUGUGAGGCCUAAUCUAAAAUGAAAAUAUGGAGUUGUUCAAAAGUUAUGAAGACUUUCAAGAGGGCAACGGCAGAGCAUAAUCCAAGUGCAGAGCUUUUUCAUGUGCAGGGUCCUGCGCAGUUGCUCAGGCUGCAUGUCCAUACAGCCAGCCCUGCGCCGAAGGUAUGACAAGAGUCAACCUCUUGGCCAAUGUGAAGGAUGAGACACACC